Paramormyrops kingsleyae is the source of this 373-nucleotide non-coding RNA. The record is from RefSeq and is a predicted model, not a curated record. NCBI's taxonomy places the organism in Eukaryota, Metazoa, Chordata, Actinopteri, Osteoglossiformes, Mormyridae.
UUCUUGGUUGAUUUUUAAUUCUUUUCUGGACACCAGCCAGUGCCCCCUGUUAUAUUUCCUGUUAUCCUUUCUUACUGGCUGACAUGGACCCCCAGCCUGCAAGCAGAAGGUUAAGGAGCAGCAGAAGUGGCCAUGGAGCGGCAAAGUCCAUCAUCUGUGCUCUAGCUCAGCUGACAGGUGUGUCCACACAGGAAGCAGAGAACUUGUUCCUUGCUGGUCUUCAGCACAGCAGAAGUGAAAUUGGAGACUUUGACCCAAGAAUUACCUGUCAAAAGAAAAAGGACGGUCUGCUGUAGGACUGUACAUUUUUGUUAUUGCUUUUCACUUUUCUAAGUGUUUUUUUAUUUUCUCAAAAGAAAAUUUUUACUUUACA